GCCGGCAGCUAGCUCUCUGCAACUCUCACAUGGUUGCCCACUGAAGGUAAGCAGAGAUGCGCCCGGUCAGUACCUGGAUGGGAGACCAAAUGGGAAUGCUAAGUUGCUGCCAGAA
Molecule: ribosomal RNA, 115 nt
Filed under: Danio rerio (zebrafish)
Lineage: Eukaryota; Metazoa; Chordata; Actinopteri; Cypriniformes; Danionidae
Source: RNAcentral